CCAGACUCCUACGGGAGGCAGCAGUGGGGGAUAUUGCACAAUGGGGGGAACCCUGAUGCAGCGACGCCGCGUGGGUGAAGGAGUAUUUCGGUAUGUAAAGCCCUAUCGGCAGGGAAGAAGAAAGACGGUACCUGACUAAGAAGCCCCGGCUAACUACGUGCCAGCAGCCGCGGUAAUACGUAGGGGGCGAGCGUUAUCCGGAUUUACUGGGUGUAAAGGGAGCGCAGACGGCAGUGCAAGUCUGGAGUGAAAGCCCGGGGCCCAACCCCGGGACUGCUCUUGGAACUGCGCGGCUGGAGUGCAGGAGGGGCAGGCGGAAUUCCUGGUGUAGCGGUGAAAUGCGUAGAUAUCAGGAGGAACACCGGCGGCGAAGGCGGCCUGCUGGACUGAAACUGACGUUGGGGCUCGAAAGCGUGGGGAGCAAACAGGAUUAGAUACCCGGGUA
RNAcentral lists this ribosomal RNA (445 nucleotides) under uncultured bacterium. Its description in RNAcentral is "partial 16S ribosomal RNA". It matches the Rfam family "Bacterial small subunit ribosomal RNA", at positions 331 to 792 of the family's 1533-position model. The record is from RNAcentral.